RNAcentral lists this ribosomal RNA (468 nucleotides) under uncultured bacterium. Its description in RNAcentral is "partial 16S ribosomal RNA". It matches the Rfam family "Bacterial small subunit ribosomal RNA", at positions 28 to 507 of the family's 1533-position model. The record is from RNAcentral.
GACGAACGCUGGCGGCGUGCUUAACACAUGCCAGUCGAACGGAAAGGCCCUGCUUUUGUGGUGUGCUCGAGUGGCGAACGGGUGAGUAACACGUGAGUAACCUGCCCUUGACUUUGGGAUAACUUCAGGAAACUGGGGCUAAUACCGGAUAGGAGCUCCUGCUGCAUGGUGGGGGUUGGAAAGUUUCGGCGGUUGGGGAUGGACUCGCGGCUUAUCAGCUUGUUGGUGGGGUAGUGGCUUACCAAGGCUUUGACGGGUAGCCGGCCUGAGAGGGUGACCGGCCACAUUGGGACUGAGAUACGGCCCAGACUCCUACGGGAGGCAGCAGUGGGGAAUAUUGCAAAAUGGGCGGAAGCCUGAUGCAGCAACGCCGCGUGCGGGAUGACGGCCUUCGGGUUGUAAACCGCUUUCGCCUGUGACGAAGCGUGAGUGACGGUAAUGGGUAAAGAAGCACCGGCUAACUACGUG